GAUGAACGCUGGCGGCGUGCCUAAUACAUGCAAGUCGAGCGAACGGACGAGAAGCUUGCUUCUCUGACGUUAGCGGCGGACGGGUGAGUAACACGUGGAUAACCUACCUAUAAGACUGGGAUAACUUCGGGAAACCGGAGCUAAUACCGGAUGAUAUUUUGAACCGCAUGGUUCAAAAGUGAAAGACGGUCUUGCUGUCACUUAUAGAUGGAUCCGCGCUGCAUUAGCUAGUUGGUAAGGUAACGGCUUACCAAGGCAACGAUGCAUAGCCGACCUGAGAGGGUGAUCGGCCACACUGGAACUGAGACACGGUCCAGACUCCUACGGGAGGCAGCAGUAGGGAAUCUUCCGCAAUGGGCGAAAGCCUGACGGAGCAACGCCGCGUGAGUGAUGAAGGUCUUCGGAUCGUAAAACUCUGUUAUUAGGGAAGAACAUAUGUGUAAGUAACUAUGCACAUCUUGACGGUACCUAAUCAGAAAGCCACGGCUAACUACGUG
RNAcentral lists this ribosomal RNA (497 nucleotides) under uncultured bacterium. RNAcentral's name for it is "partial 16S ribosomal RNA". It matches the Rfam family "Bacterial small subunit ribosomal RNA", at positions 28 to 507 of the family's 1533-position model. The record is from RNAcentral.